GCCCUAGUCCUACGGGAUGCAGCAGGCGCGAAACCUUUACAAUGCGCGAAAGCGUGAUAAGGGAACUCUGAGUGGCAGCCGGCUUUUAGCCGACUGUCUUUUGGCGAACCUAAACCGUUCGCAGAAUAAGUUCUGGGUAAGACCAGUGCCAGCCGCCAUGCGCAGUCGCAUAUUGCGCACGGUACGCGGUAAUACUGGCAGAACGAGUGGUGCCCACGAAUAUUGGGUCUAAAGAGACCGUAGCUGGUCUGUUAAGUCCACUGUGAAAUCUUGGGGCUCAACCUCAAGGCGUGCAGUGGAUACUGGCAGACUUGAGAGCGGGGGAGGUCAGGGGUACUUACGGGGUAUGAGUAAAAUCAGUUGAUCCUGUAAGGACCACCAGUGGCGAAGGCGCCUGACCAAAACGCGUCUGACAGUGAGGGUCGAAGGCUAGGAGAACGAAUCGGAUUAGAUACCCGAGUAGCCCUAGCAGUAAAUUAUGCAGACUGUGGUGUUGCUAUGGCUUCGGGCCAUGGCAGUGCUGUAGCGUAGGUGUUAAGUCUGCCACCUGGGAGUACGGCCGC
This 563-nucleotide ribosomal RNA is filed under the name uncultured euryarchaeote. RNAcentral describes it as "bacterial SSU rRNA". It matches the Rfam family "Archaeal small subunit ribosomal RNA", at positions 314 to 844 of the family's 1478-position model. The record is from RNAcentral. Lineage: Archaea; Methanobacteriati; Methanobacteriota.